CACCACCCCUGGCUCCUGCUUGUGUGCUUGAUUUGUGGAGCUGAUGCCUACUCCUAGCUGCAAGGGAGGCUGGCAAAGUGAAAUCAUAGCCUCCAUUUGGGAUAGAAGGCAAGAAGGCCUCAAGUGUAUGAAGACUGUAAAAAGGUGCAGCACAGCUAGAAAACAUGACGAAGGUCCAUGGGCUGGAAUGUAGAAGUGGACUUUUGGCCACGUGGAUGAGGAAUUGAAGCAGUCAGUUCUGAUCUAGAGAUGGAAGGCGCCUGCUGAGGACAGCAGGGCUGCUUGGCACCCUGGGUCCCUGAAUGGCUCUGUGGAGCACUGCCUGAUGGCCCACCCUGGACUGUUGCCUGAGACAGAAAUAAACUUUUAUCUUGUU
Molecule: long non-coding RNA, 376 nt
Filed under: Homo sapiens (human)
Lineage: Eukaryota; Metazoa; Chordata; Mammalia; Primates; Hominidae
Description: HSALNT0349497
Source: RNAcentral